AACGCACAUUGCGCCCGUUAGUACUCUAGCGGGCAUGCCUGUUCGAGCGUCAUUUCAACCCUCAAGCACCGCUUGGCGUUGGGGACUUGUAGCUUCUACAAGCCCUGAAAGUUAGUGGCGUGCUCGCUAUAACUCCGAGCGUAGUAGUACACCUCGCUUAGGACGUUCUGGCGGGUUCCGGCCGUUAAACACCCCCCUUCUCAAGAGUUGACCUCGGAUCAGGUAGGAAUACCCGCUGAACUUAA
RNAcentral lists this unclassified non-coding RNA (245 nucleotides) under uncultured fungus. Its description in RNAcentral is "sequence contains ITS2". The record is from RNAcentral. Lineage: Eukaryota; Fungi.